RNAcentral lists this ribosomal RNA (468 nucleotides) under uncultured bacterium. RNAcentral describes it as "partial 16S ribosomal RNA". It matches the Rfam family "Bacterial small subunit ribosomal RNA", at positions 28 to 507 of the family's 1533-position model. The record is from RNAcentral.
GACGAACGCUGGCGGCGUGCUUAACACAUGCAAGUCGAACGGAAAGGCCCUGCUUUUGUGGGGUGCCCGAGUGGCGAACGGGUGAGUAACACGUGAGUAACCUGCCCUUGACUUUGGGAUAACUUCAGGAAACUGGGGCUAAUACCGGAUAGGAGCUCCUGCUGCAUGGUGGGGGUUGGAAAGUUUCGGCGGUUGGGGAUGGACUCGCGGCUUAUCAGCUUGUUGGUGGGGUAGUGGCUUACCAAGGCUUUGACGGGUAGCCGGCCUGAGAGGGUGACCGGCCACAUUGGGACUGAGAUACGGCCCAGAUUCCUACGGGAGGCAGCAGUGGGGAAUAUUGCACAAUGGGCGGAAGCCUGAUGCAGCAACGCCGCGUGCGGGAUGACGGCCUUCGGGUUGUAAACCGCUUUCGCCUGUGACGAAGCGUGAGUGACGGUAAUGGGUAAAGAAGCACCGGCUAACUACGUG